AUGUUUAGUUUUAAAAGUGUUACCAGAUUUUAGAAAUUCUCAAAGUUUUAAUAGAGUUAGAAUUUUCAGAAUAUAUGUAUAAAAGAAAAAUAUAUUUAUUUGCAAAUUAUCUAUUCACUGAGCUAUAAGCUCAUAAAUCUUUUCUCCAUUAUCUUUAUUAGAUAGCAAUCGAAUUGAGCAGUUUUGGAGCCUAUUAAACCACCGAAUUGAGCCACGCUUAGUCGAUUGUAUGAUAUUCUUUAUCAGAUUAUACAGUGGGUGUUCUUUUGGGGUACAUGUAUCUUAAAUCAGAAAAAAGUUCAUCAUGGGCUCAUUACAUAUUUGAUGUAUUUGGUAUAUUUGAGAAUUGUUGGUUGUAAAGUAAGUAAAUAUUGAAUGGCCAACAUUUUAUUUGAAUAGUUGGUAUUCUGAGGAACUAGUGUAUCCUGUUUUAUAUUAUAGGUAUUGAUU
Molecule: long non-coding RNA, 450 nt
Filed under: Olea europaea (common olive)
Lineage: Eukaryota; Viridiplantae; Streptophyta; Magnoliopsida; Lamiales; Oleaceae
Description: long non-coding RNA (OEUR_LNC007793)
Source: RNAcentral